This 249-nucleotide unclassified non-coding RNA is filed under the name Hevea brasiliensis (rubber tree). Lineage: Eukaryota; Viridiplantae; Streptophyta; Magnoliopsida; Malpighiales; Euphorbiaceae. The record is from RNAcentral.
GCCUUUGUGCUUUUUGAUGUAUCUAAAUCUGAAUUCGUAUAUGUGUGUUCUUGCUGGUUGUGAGAUUGAUGUGAAGUAUUCAACUGUUUUUCACUUGUUAAUUAGGGCUGCUGUUUAGAUUGUUUAGAUGUUGAGACUGUUUUAAGAUUUUAAAAUGAUUUUUUUCCCUCUUAAGUUGUGUAUUAACUUUUAUCUGAUUUCUCGUGGUACUCAGUUAAUGCUAUUCAUAAUUAGGGUUUUAAAAGGGAA